This 304-nucleotide ribosomal RNA is filed under the name uncultured bacterium. RNAcentral describes it as "bacterial SSU rRNA". It matches the Rfam family "Bacterial small subunit ribosomal RNA", at positions 492 to 793 of the family's 1533-position model. The record is from RNAcentral.
ACCGGCUAACUCCGUGCCAGCAGCCGCGGUAAUACGGAGGGUGCGAGCGUUAAUCGGAAUUACUGGGCGUAAAGCGCAUGCAGGCGGUCCUGUUAAGUCAGAUGUGAAAAGCCCGGGGCUUAACCUCGGAAUUGCAUUUGAAACUGGCAGGCUAGAGUCUUGUAGAGGGGGUAGAAUUUCAGGUGUAGCGGUGAAAUGCGUAGAGAUCUGAAGGAAUACCAGUGGCGAAGGCGGCCCCCUGGACAAAGACUUGACGCUCAGAUGCGAAAGCGUGGGGAGCAAACAGGAUUAGAUACCCCUGUAG